Molecule: long non-coding RNA, 270 nt
Filed under: Mytilus galloprovincialis (Mediterranean mussel)
Lineage: Eukaryota; Metazoa; Mollusca; Bivalvia; Mytilida; Mytilidae
Source: RNAcentral
CUUUGGUAUGCAUUAUAUCAUGUUUUAUUUCAAAUAUGUUGGCUUCAAGAUAACAACCUUAAAAUGUAAUGUUCCAUGGUCAUGAUGUCACGAUGCAACAUGUACAUAGUUUACAGUUUACAAUGUUCAUUUUAAGGAAUAGAUCGUUUGUAGUCAAACUAUAAUAAAUAAUUUUGACCAAGAAUUGUUUGAAACCUUGGGAACUGUAUUUUUGUCAAAUUUCCCACAACCUUAUUUAAAAUACCUUUUCGAUCUUUUUUGUGCUGCGUC